GCCUGUUCUCUCCUGCAGAGGAGCGUCCCAUCUCAGGCCUGGCCGCCGCCCUCGCUGGAGCCAAGCUGCGCAAAGUGCAGAGGAGUGAUGAUGCAGGCACUUCUUUGGCCGCAGCCAUGUCGGGGGCUGGAGGGCCCGCAGGGGCCAAAUCUGAAGUCAGAGGCAACGGCCCUCUGUCUGGAGGAGGCGGGCUCAUGGAGGAGAUGAGCGCCUUGUUGGCCAGGAGGAGAAGAAUUGCAGAUAAGGGCUCGUCCCCUGAACCUGACCAGAGAUCAG
Notothenia coriiceps (black rockcod) is the source of this 276-nucleotide long non-coding RNA. RefSeq lists it as uncharacterized. The transcript is spliced from 3 exons. The record is from RefSeq and is a predicted model, not a curated record. NCBI's taxonomy places the organism in Eukaryota, Metazoa, Chordata, Actinopteri, Perciformes, Nototheniidae.